Molecule: RNA transcript, 5977 nt
Organism: Planococcus citri (citrus mealybug)
Lineage: Eukaryota; Metazoa; Arthropoda; Insecta; Hemiptera; Pseudococcidae
Gene name: galactose-3-O-sulfotransferase 3-like
Exons: 2
Source: RefSeq, a predicted model, not a curated record
UACAAUUCCAUUCUUAAAUCGUAUCAAUACGCAGAUACAUCAACAGUGACAAUAAUGCGCCAUCCAGUAACACAUUUCGAAUCAUAGUACACUUAUUUCGAAAUGAACAAAACAACAGGAAUGAACUUGCAACAAUUUUUAAACGCCCCCAAAAAACCGCCAGUCUUGUCCGGACUUGGCAGUUUUAUAGCGUACAGAGGAUACAAUCAAAUGAGCAUCGAUUUAGGAUUUGAUCCGAAGCAAAGUAAAAAUAGAACAGCAGUUGACCAAUUUAUCGAAAAAAUAGAUCACGAGUUUGAUUUCGUCAUGAUAAUGGAGCAUAUGGAAGCGUCUAUGGUUUUACUCGCCAAUCUAAUGGGAUGGCCAUUAGAGUACAUGGCUUCUUUGAAGUUGAACGCGAGAUUACCCGGAUCAGAUGCUUAUAAAUUGACCUCGCGCGAUGAAUUCAUCAUAAUGGAUCUGAACGAGGUGGAUACUCUGCUAUAUGAUCAUUUCAGAAAUAAAUUUCAAAAAUGCGUGCGACAAUUUGGCGAACAAAAGAUGGAACAACAAAUUCAACGAUUGAAAAUUAUCAAUGAACAAUUCGCACAGAGAUGCGUAACCGAAGUCACAACUGGUACAUGGUUCGGCGUUCCAAAAACCGUCAACUAUGUUCUUAAAAACGAAUCAGACAUGGAAUGUGUUCAUGCUACGUUCGUCAUAUCACUAGAAGACAUUGUUCGAAACACACAAUUUCAAAGACUCUGGUUUCAGCGUAUGAAAUAGAAGUGAAUGAUCAUGCAUCUUGAUCUCAUUUUGGAAUAGUCACAACCAGGCUUUUUUUGUCGGUUCUUUUUUGGGAGCACGCUAAUUCUCGAAAGUUGUAAGUACAUAACUUUUUGAACCCCCAUCCCAAACAUCAACAAAGAAUUGAUUUGCGCCUUAUCCGUUUAAUUGUGCGAUUUCUGAUGAAUUUUUGAGCGGAUUUCGCAACUAGCGACCAAUUGGGCUCCACGUUUUUUUGGGCGAAUAAUCGUUUGCGCUUCUGAUAGUAACAUAUCACCAGAAGCGCAAACGAUUGAAAAUAAUACAUCGUCUGCGAUUUUCCUAAAAUUUCGUCAGUAGGUCUAGGUAUAACAAGAAUUUCCAAAACGCCACUAAAAUGCGAAACACCACAUUCUUUGAAUCAUUAUAAGUUCACUUUUACAGUGUAUCAUAUUCAAAAAAUCUGUAUGAAGUUUUCAGAAAAUUGGAAUAUGAAUCGUUUCAAUUUUUUCAGUAUUUUAUUUUUAUACAAUUACCCUUGCCUGAAGUAAUUUUAUUGCAAAAUUUAAGGUCACUUUUUUGGGAAAUUGCCUUCGUGACGGAGUGGUGCAAAUUUCUGGUUCAUUGUUGCCAAUUUUAAAACUUCAAGAAAAAUAGUUUUUUUCCUCUUGUGUGGUCGGCAAUACUAGAAAGGUAUCUAAAUUCCCUUCUUGUGCCAAUACUCGAGGAACUUUAUCCCCUCAUCAUCAAUUGUCCGGUCCAGUUUGUCUGUGUCGAAGUCACCAUAUAAUCAACACCUGAAAAGGUGUCUGUCAUCUUGUACCUCUCCACAUUUGCACAGAUUGUCAUCAGCCAAGUGCCAUCUGUGUAGGUUGGAUUUUGAGCGUGUUGUUCCGCUUCUAAUAAUUCUAUUCAGCGUUUUCUAGAGGCUGUACUUCAGUUGGUUGCCUUGGGGCAAUGAUUCCCUCAUAGUAUUGCUACUUGAUGCUGUGUUCCAGAUUUGACAGCGUUCAACUUCGGCGGGAGCACUCAAUUCAUUCACUGUUCUCAGGAAACUGUGUCUAGAUUUUAGUCUGCUCUCUGGUAAUUCGUUGUAGCCAUGCAUGGGGUGUAGGGGGUUGUGUGUUUCUUUAGUUUUUUCUGCUCUGGCAGCCACCUCCCUACGCACUUCCUGUGGUGCAAUCCUCCCUAGGCAAUGCAGAGCUAUGAGUGGAGUUGAUCUGAGGCAUCCUGUCACCAAUCACCAGGCUUCAUUCAGGGGCACAUCUACUUUUUUAGCAUGUGCUGAUUGUCCCCAUGCUGGGCAAGCAUAUUCUGCAACUGAGUAACACAGCGCUAGUGCUGAUGUGCGCAGGACCUGUGGUUUAGCUCCCCAUCUGCUACCUACCAGCUUUCGGAUCAGAUUUGUUCUAGCAGCCACAUUCAUUUUGGUUUUUUCACAGUGUUGCCAGUAGGUGAGUGAUCUAUCCAGUGUCACUCCUAGAUAUUUGGGGCGGUCAUUGUGGUUCAGAGCAGUGUUUCCCCAUUAGAUGUUGAACUGUCUCUUGGCCUCACAAUUUUGCAGGUGGAACAAACAGGUUUCUGUCUUGGAUGGAUUUGGCCUGACGCCUGAGGUGGUUGGCUUUAUAUGUAGUAUUUGUUCAGUUCUUCUAUUGCCUGAUUCAGUGUGUCUUCCACUGCUACAAAUGUGUCACACUGUGCUGUGAGUGCCAGGUUCACCAGGUACAACAAAAGAAACAAACCCUUCGACUACAAAAUAUUAGUUGAAUUCACGCUGUACCCGUGUAAGCUUAUUAAAACCGAAUAUCUCUCCAUGAACUGGUCUAUUGGUUGGUCAUUGGUGUAGAUAUUAAAAAGGAUGGGUGACAGGACACUUCCCUGCGGCAAGCCAUUCUUUUGCCUUCUCCAAGUGCCGUUCUUUCCCUCUAAAGUCACAUAGAACCUCUGGUCUUUAAGCAGUGUCGUGAUGAUUUCUGUAAAUUUGUAGUCCCUGGUCAGUUCAUAAAUCUUGUACCGAAGUAACUGAUGACACACUGUGUCAAACGCUGCAGUGAGGUCCACAAACACAGCACCAGUGACCUUGCGCUGUUCAAAACCAUCCUCAAUGUGCUGUGUUAAACUCAGGACCUGGCCAGUGCAAGAUUUCCCAGGUCUGAAACCUGCCUGCUGACUGAUUAGGUUGUUGUCAAUAUGCUCAGCUAGUCGAUGUAGGACCACACGCUCAAAUAUUGUAUACAGGUGACAUAGUAAUGAUAUAGGGUGGUAACUUUUAGGGUUGUUUGGGUCUUUGCCUGGCUUUUGGAUAGCAGUGACAUGGGCCUCAAAAACUUACAAAAAUUUUCUAUAAUGACUAAAAAAUUGGUACCUUAAGUUUCAAAAUAGUUCUCCAGUUUCACGAAUUGUACAUUUGUAUGUACAUAUAUAUUGAUUUUUUGGCUUGACCAAUGCAAAAUAUUGGAGAAAGCAAAAUUCUCAAAACUUGAAUUUAUUUAAAAAAUGGGCGACUUGAAAAUUUUCAACUGCUGAGUAUCUUCUCCCAUUCAGGGACACCUCCGGAGCUAAAAUGUUUUCUGAGUAAUUUUCAACUCAAAAUGAAAAUUGCUGCUGAAUUUGGUCUAAAUCUGCUGAUUUUUUUUUUUUGGCGAUUCAUUCUACUGUAGGUAUUUACGAGAUGCUGUUGAAGGUAAGUAAAGAAAUGCCUCCACAUGAAUUAUGUAUACCUUCCAGUAGGUUUUUGAGAUGAUAUCACUAGAAAGUUUGGGAACCCCUGCUAUUCAAAAGCGUAAACGAUUUACGAAAAGCGCAAAACAGUUAGUAGCCUUCUAUUGUUAUUAUCACAACGUUUCGAAAAAAAAACCAUUAUCUACUGCUAUCACCACUUUUUAAACCAAAAAAACCAUGUUAAACACUUAUCAUUAGCGAAAAAAUGUUCCUUUCUUAUUCAAUCAACAGCAAUUUGAAGGUGUAUACGCGUAAAAUGUAUCUAUCCAAAAAGAAAAUCGCUAUUAAAAUACAAAUUUUCACAUUGAAACACAAAACACUUCUAUUUUCGUGUAUAUGCACCUCACUCGCGCUAUGGAUUCUGCUAUCUCUGAGCACAAACAUUUCGUCCGCGUUUGAUCAGAUACAACUCAAAUCGUCAUGAAUGCAAAAUUGAAUGUUAUGUCUCCAGAAAUCAAAAUGAACCCUUGGCUUACACUUGCUGCACGCCGUCAAACAAAUCAUUACGAACAAAUGUAUACUUCGUAAAAACCCACAAAACAGGAAGCACAACGGUCAAAAAUGUUAUAUUACGAUUCGCUUUUAGGAAUUCGCUCGAUGUAAUGGACAUCAUUUACAACACGUAUAACUUGCCAUUUUCCGAUUCUUCCAUGCAUCCCCACGCGAAGACACCGAAUAACAAAUAUCAUAUCAUGGCGCAACACGUCAGGUACGACCCUGCAUUAAAAUCAUACCAAUAUCCGAAUACAUCGAUGGUAACAAUUUUGCGACACCCUGCAACGCAGUUCCAAUCCAAGUACGAAUUUUUAGUACUGAAUAAGACGACAGGCAUGAACUUACAACAAUUUUUGAACGCACCUGAGAAACCUGAUUUGAGUAAGGGUGGUGGAGCAGUAUACAGAGGAUACAAUCAACUCAGCGUCGAUUUGGGAUUCGAUGUAAGUCAAAGUAAGAAUGAAACUGCCAUCGCCGAAUUCAUCCAAACAAUAGAUCGAGAAUUCGAUUUAGUUAUGAUUAUGGAGCAUAUGGAAGCUUCGAUGAUAUUACUCGCCAAUCUAAUGGGAUGGCCAUUAGAGUACGUGGCUUUUUUGAAAUUGAACUCCAGGAAUUCCCAGUCAGACCCUUACAAAUUGACCUUACGCGACGAAAUUACUAUAAUGGAUCUAAACCAAGUAGAUACUCUGUUAUAUAACCAUUUUAACGAUAAAUUUCAGAAAUGCGUGCGACAAUAUGGCGAACAAAAGAUGUUAGAUCAGAUUCAACAAUUGAAAAUAAUCAAUGAAAAAUUCGCGCAGAGAUGUAUAGGCGAAGAAAUUAAAAAACCAUUGUGGAAUGGCGGUUCGGAAAUGAUCGAAUUUAAGCCAAAGGAUUCAUCAGAUGUAGAAUGCGUUUACGCAGUUGCGUCCACCUUUGCACUCGCAGAUAUUCUCAAGAACUACACAAAGUCAAAAAAUGGAAAGUUCAAUAAGGGAUGGAAUUUUUUACAAUUUGUUAACUAAAUAGUACGAAUAUGUGGUGCUGAUUUACAUAUUUGGCCGAUUCAAUUUCUUCACAGAAUGAACUUCCCAUCGGAUUAAAAAAAUUGUAAUCAUGGUUUCUAUCCUCAACAUGUUGUCUUUGUCUGCGAAAUCGUAAAACAAAAUUUGUCUCUUUCUGGCUUCAUAUUCGAAAAAAAUUUCCUCAUCAUCACCCCCCUCUCACACGCCUCUGAAAAAUUUUAAAAAAACGCGAAAUUUCAACAUUUCUAUGUAGCAUAAGUAUUUUGUUUGAAACAGCGAAACUUUUUUUUGAAAUUUUUCGCUUAAAAAAAGACUUCUCGGCGGUAAAAUCACUAUUUUUUCGCUGCCAUUUUCCAACCCUAUUUUCAGAAAUCUCUUCACUCCCUCUCCCCUUUUCCCCAAACUAAAAAAUUACCAAAGCCACAUUUUUCACAAUAAAAUUAUCAAAAAAAUUGAAAUUGGAAGAAAAUUAGAUAAAUAAUUUUUCAAUUUCAUAAAAAAAAAGUUCGCAUACAAUUAUUACAAUCUCCGAAGUCCGAAUAUUGUAGAUAAAUCUUGCAUUAUAGCUAUAUGGGUAGACAAAAAAAAAAUUAAUAAAAAUUACUAUUUCAGUACAGUAACCGGAUCCCAUUCAAAAAUAAUAGUGAUUUUUACUCAGCCAAAAAAUACAUUUUAACUAGAAUUAGGUAAAAAUUUAUUAUUUAUUUAUUACUCUCAUACUAAAAUUUAGUAAAAUUUACUAUUCUUAUAGUAAAAAUCACAAUAUUUUUGAAUGGGAUCCGGUUACUGUAUGAAAUAGUAAAAAUUAUCCAUACUUUUUUUUUCGUGUAUACGUUCGUCGUAUGCGUAGUUUCUAAUCAUCUCGAUCUAAAUAGGCUAAUUUCAUCUUAUAUGUAUUUAAGGUUUUCGUUCUGGUAUAUUAUGAACUCAAAUUUUUUACACGUGCAGUAACAUUAUUCUUGUAAAAUAUAACAGUGUAGAUGCGCGAGCAGAUCGCGUUAUGGCGUUUUUUA